UACGUAGGGUGCAAGCGUUGUCCGGAAUUACUGGGCGUAAAGGGCUCGUAGGUGGCCAACUAAGUCAGACGUGAAAUCCCCAGGCUUAACCUGGGAACUGCGUCUGAUACUGGAUGGCUUGAAUUCGGGAGAGGGAUGCAGAAUUCCAGGUGUAGCGGUGAAAUGCGUAGAUAUCUGGAGGAAUACCGGUGGCGAAGGCGGCAUCCUGGACCGAGAUUGACACUGAUGAGCGAAAGCUAGGGGAGCAAACGGG
Molecule: ribosomal RNA, 253 nt
Filed under: uncultured bacterium
Lineage: Bacteria
Description: partial 16S ribosomal RNA
Rfam family: Bacterial small subunit ribosomal RNA
Source: RNAcentral